AAAAAAUGUAUUUUUAUAUCCUGACUUUAUAUUUAGCUUCACUCCUAUUGGACGAGAAUUACUAAAGAAUAUAAACAUCAUGCACGUUUUAAUAGAUAAGAUAAUACAGCAGCAGACUGGUACAUUAAAUAAACUCGAUACC
This is a long non-coding RNA of Formica exsecta, 142 nucleotides long. RefSeq lists it as uncharacterized. NCBI's taxonomy places the organism in Eukaryota, Metazoa, Arthropoda, Insecta, Hymenoptera, Formicidae. The record is from RefSeq and is a predicted model, not a curated record. The transcript has 2 exons.